Molecule: ribosomal RNA, 450 nt
Filed under: uncultured bacterium
Lineage: Bacteria
Description: partial 16S ribosomal RNA
Rfam family: Bacterial small subunit ribosomal RNA
Source: RNAcentral
GUGGGGAAUUUUGGACAAUGGGCGCAAGCCUGAUCCAGCAAUGCCGCGUGCAGGAAGAAGGCCUUCGGGUUGUAAACUGCUUUUGUACGGAACGAAACGGUCCGGGUUAAUACCCUGGGCUAAUGACGGUACCGUAAGAAUAAGCACCGGCUAACUACGUGCCAGCAGCCGCGGUAAUACGUAGGGUGCAAGCGUUAAUCGGAAUUACUGGGCGUAAAGCGUGCGCAGGCGGUUUUGUAAGACAGUGGUGAAAUCCCCGGGCUCAACCUGGGAACUGCCAUUGUGACUGCAAAGCUAGAGUGCGGCAGAGGGGGAUGGAAUUCCGCGUGUAGCAGUGAAAUGCGUAGAUAUGCGGAGGAACACCGAUGGCGAAGGCAAUCCCCUGGGCCUGCACUGACGCUCAUGCACGAAAGCGUGGGGAGCAAACAGGAUUAGAAACCCCAGUAGUCC